Non-coding RNA from Gorilla gorilla gorilla (western lowland gorilla), 148 nucleotides. It matches the Rfam family "Metazoan signal recognition particle RNA". From Rfam's summary of the family: The signal recognition particle (SRP) is a universally conserved ribonucleoprotein. It is involved in the co-translational targeting of proteins to membranes. The eukaryotic SRP consists of a 300-nucleotide 7S RNA and six proteins: SRPs 72, 68, 54, 19, 14, and 9. NCBI's taxonomy places the organism in Eukaryota, Metazoa, Chordata, Mammalia, Primates, Hominidae. The record is from Rfam.
GCCAGGCAUGGUGGCGCACGCCUGUAAUCCCAGAUACUUGGGAGGCUGAGGUAGGAGAAUCGCUUGAACCCGGGAGGUUGAGGUUGCAGUGAGCCGAGAUCCUGCCACUGCACCCCAACCUGAAUUACAGGGCGAGACCUUGUCUCAA